GGCCAGACUCCUACGGGAGGCAGCAGUGGGGAAUAUUGGACAAUGGGGGGAACCCUGAUGCAGCGACGCCGCGUGGGUGAAGGAGUGCUUCGGCAUGUAAAGCCCUAUCGGCAGGGAAGAAGCAAGACGGUACCUGACUAAGAAGCCCCGACUAACUACGUGCCAGCAGCCGCGGUAAUACGUAGGGGGCGAGCGUUAUCCGGAUUUAUUGGGUUUAAAGGGUGCGCAGGCGGAAGAUCAAGUCAGCGGUAAAAUUGAGAGGCUCAACCUCUGCGAGCCGUUGAAACUGGUUUUCUUGAGUGAGCGAGAAGUAUGCGGAAUGCGUGGUGUAGCGGUGAAAUGCAUAGAUAUCACGCAGAACUCCGAUUGCGAAGGCAGCAUACCGGCGCUCAACUGACGCUCAUGCACGAAAGUGUGGGUAUCGAACAGGAUUAGAUACCCCAGUAU
Molecule: ribosomal RNA, 447 nt
Filed under: uncultured bacterium
Lineage: Bacteria
Description: bacterial SSU rRNA
Rfam family: Bacterial small subunit ribosomal RNA
Source: RNAcentral